Molecule: ribosomal RNA, 253 nt
Filed under: uncultured bacterium
Lineage: Bacteria
Description: partial 16S ribosomal RNA
Rfam family: Bacterial small subunit ribosomal RNA
Source: RNAcentral
UACGAAGGGGGCGAGCGUUGUUCGGAUUUACUGGGCGUAAAGGGCGCGCAGGCGGCUAUCCAAGUCAGGCGUGAAAGCCCCGGGCUUAACCUGGGAACUGCGUCUGGGACUGGGUGGCUAGAGUUCGGGAGAGGAGAGUGGAAUUCCCAGUGUAGAGGUGAAAUUCGUAGAUAUUGGGAAGAACACCGGUGGCGAAGGCGGCUCUCUGGACCGAGACUGACGCUGAGGCGCGAAAGCGUGGGGAUCAAACAGG